AUUGGAACACCGGUUCCCGUACUAUCGCCGAAGUUAAGCAUUGUCGAGCCUGGCCAGUACCUAGAUGGAUGACCGUUUGGGAAUG
Non-coding RNA from Acanthosepion pharaonis, 85 nucleotides. NCBI's taxonomy places the organism in Eukaryota, Metazoa, Mollusca, Cephalopoda, Sepiida, Sepiidae. The record is from the annotation of a GenBank genome assembly.